RNAcentral lists this microRNA precursor (68 nucleotides) under Drosophila simulans. Its description in RNAcentral is "Dsi-Mir-986_pre stem-loop". It matches the Rfam family "mir-986 microRNA precursor family", at positions 15 to 82 of the family's 94-position model. The record is from RNAcentral. Lineage: Eukaryota; Metazoa; Arthropoda; Insecta; Diptera; Drosophilidae.
UCUCGAAUAGCGUUGUGACUGAGGUAACUGCGCAUCGAAUCUACUCAGCGGCGAGGCUAUUCCAGUAA